Molecule: non-coding RNA, 23 nt
Filed under: Arabidopsis thaliana (thale cress)
Lineage: Eukaryota; Viridiplantae; Streptophyta; Magnoliopsida; Brassicales; Brassicaceae
Source: RNAcentral
UGCAAUAUGUGCCAACUGCUGCA